Molecule: long non-coding RNA, 569 nt
Organism: Lemur catta (Ring-tailed lemur)
Lineage: Eukaryota; Metazoa; Chordata; Mammalia; Primates; Lemuridae
Exons: 3
Source: RefSeq, a predicted model, not a curated record
AUGUGGAGCCCCUGAAGGACCUGACACAGCCGUGUUGAUGAGGAACGGAAGUGGUCCUUUUCUAACAGAAGCAGAUCCAGUGAUUUUCAUAUUUGUCGUCCUCACUGCGGCUUCAGAUGGAUCUUUGUCUGAAGGAUUUCUGGAGGACAUUCUAGAAGGAAUCACAAGAGCAUCAAGGAAAGAAUUAUUUGAUGGUUAAAAACUUAUACCACCCUACCAGGGUAUUGGUUUGACCAGCAAAACCACCACAUCUAAAUGACAAUUGGGCCACUUGAUGGAGACCUCCAGAUGAAUGGUCUACCUCAGCUGGGUUUGCCACCUGGCACAGAAGGUGGGAAGAGGAAGGAAACUGAAACAGGACCCAUUAACUAUGUAUACUGGUACAAGUAUAAUAACAAUCACACUUCUCUGUACAUAAGCCUUUUCCCCAUAAUUUCCUUCUUAGAUUUCAUGAAAGCUGAUGCUGUAGCAUUUUGCCUCAUCAACUCUUUGUUGUAAUUGUUUGGUUUCUCCAGAGUUUUUUCUCUAAAAGGAAUUAUCAUGGGCCUUAAAAGGGAAUGGAAAUAACU